Molecule: RNA transcript, 1073 nt
Organism: Penaeus chinensis
Lineage: Eukaryota; Metazoa; Arthropoda; Malacostraca; Decapoda; Penaeidae
Gene: Etfb
Gene name: electron transfer flavoprotein subunit beta-like
Exons: 6
Source: RefSeq, a predicted model, not a curated record
AAAACUUAUUUACGCAACCCGGAGUCAGUCGCCGCCGGAGCGUCCACCGAGGAAGACCCUUUCCGAGUUCCUUCUCCCGAACAAAAUGUCUCUCAAAGUCCUCGUUGGCGUGAAGAGGGUGAUCGAUUAUGCCGUGAAGAUUCGUGUCCGCCCUGACAAAUUGGGCGUGGUGACAGAUGGCGUCAAGCACUCGAUGAACCCCUUUGAUGAGAUUGCAAUUGAAGAAGCAGUCCGUCUAAAGGAGAAGAAGAUUGCCAAGGAGGUUAUUGCUGUCUCAUGUGGUCCUGCACAAGCACAGGAGACCAUCAGGACUGCCUUGGCUAUGGGAGCUGAUCGCGGCAUUCACGUGGAAGUCCCAGCCAAGGAGAUGGAGAAGUUGGAACCCCUCCACGUGUCCAAGAUCUUGGCAAAGCUUGUGGAGAAGGAAGGGGGAGACCUGCUGAUCGUAGGCAAGCAGGCCAUCGAUGACGACUCCAAUGCCACAGCUCAGAUGACGGCAUCUCUCCUGAACUGGCCUCAGGCGACUUUUGCUUCUGAAAUAAAGAAAACAGAUGGUGAAUUGGAAGUGACUCGAGAAAUUGACGGCGGGCUGGAGUCCAUCAAAGUGAAACUUCCUGCUGUUGUUUCAGCAGAUUUGCGACUGAAUGAACCUCGUUAUGCCACACUCCCCAACAUCAUGAAAGCCAAGAAGAAGAAGAUCCAGAAGAUGAAACCGGCUGACCUUAGUGUGGAUGUUACGCCUCACCUGGAAGUCGUGGAGGUGGUUGACCCCCCAGUGAGAGAGGCAGGAAUCAAGGUGGACGAUGUAGAUACCCUUGUGGCUAAGCUCAAGGAAGCCGGACGCAUCUGAUGUAGCUGUCAUUAUCAGAUCAGAAGUGGAAUAAGUAGGUCGCUGUACAUUUACACGCAGGCUGUUGAUUGAAUUUAGGUGUUUGUAUUAACUGUGAGUGUGAGAAUGAGUCACUUAUCAAUGCAAUUUAAAGUUAAAAGUUCUUUUUACAUUCUCGGGAAACCACAAACUAACCAAAUGUAAUUUUUGUAGUGUACAUAAGAAAAUAUAUAUGAGGGUUUUA